CACGUAGGGGGCAAGCGUUGUCCGGAUUUAUUGGGCGUAAAGAGCUCGUAGGCGGCUCAGUAAGUCAGGUGUGAAACCUCCAGGCUCAACCUGGAGACGCCACCUGAUACUGCUGUGGCUAGAGUCCGGUAGGGGAGCGUGGAAUUCCUGGUGUAGCGGUGAAAUGCGCAGAUAUCAGGAGGAACACCGGUGGCGAAGGCGGAUCUCUGGGCCAUUACUGACGCUGAGGAGCGAAAGCGUGGGGAGCGAACAGG
RNAcentral lists this ribosomal RNA (254 nucleotides) under uncultured bacterium. RNAcentral describes it as "partial 16S ribosomal RNA". It matches the Rfam family "Bacterial small subunit ribosomal RNA", at positions 524 to 776 of the family's 1533-position model. The record is from RNAcentral.